GAGCCAGGCCGGGCCGCAGCGGCGGACGCCGGAGCUGGGCCGGGCUGCGCCAGCAGCGAGCGGGGCCGGGCGGGGCCGAGCCGGGCGGAGCCGGGCCGCGGAGGCGAGCGGAGCGGGGCGGGGCCGGUUCAGGC
This 134-nucleotide microRNA precursor is filed under the name Dasypus novemcinctus (nine-banded armadillo). RNAcentral describes it as "miRNA (ENSDNOG00000042874.1)". Lineage: Eukaryota; Metazoa; Chordata; Mammalia; Cingulata; Dasypodidae. The record is from RNAcentral.